UGAGGAAUAUUGGUCAAUGGUCGCAAGACUGAACCAGCCAUGCCGCGUGCAGGAAGACGGUCCUAUGGAUUGUAAAGCACUUUCAGCGAGGAGGAAAGGUUGUUGGCUAAUACCCAGCAACUGUGACGUUACUCGCAGAAGAAGCACCGGCUAACUCCGUGC
RNAcentral lists this ribosomal RNA (162 nucleotides) under uncultured bacterium. Its description in RNAcentral is "partial 16S ribosomal RNA". It matches the Rfam family "Bacterial small subunit ribosomal RNA", at positions 355 to 508 of the family's 1533-position model. The record is from RNAcentral.